AAGCGGCAACAGCUCAAAUUUGAAAUCUGGUCCCCAGGGCCCGAGUUGUAAUUUGUAGAGGAUGCUUUUGGCGAGGCGCCUUCCGAGUUUCCUGGAACGGGACGCCACAGAGGGUGAGAGCCCCGUCUGGUCGGAUGCCAAGCGUAUGUAAAGCUCCUUCGACGAGUCGAGUAGUUUGGGAAUGCUGCUCAAAAUGGGAGGUAUAUGUCUUCUAAAGCUAAAUACCGGCCAGAGACCGAUAGCGCACAAGUAGAGUGAUCGAAAGAUGAAAAGCACUUUGAAAAGAGGGUUAAAAAGUACGUGAAAUUGUUGAAAGGGAAGCGCCUAUGACCAGACUUGGGCCCGGUGAAUCAUCCAGCGUUCUCGCUGGUGCACUUUGCCGGGCACAGGCCAGCAUCAGUUUGGCGCGGGGGACAAAGGCUUCGGGAAUGUGGCUCCCCUCGGGGAGUGUUAUAGCCCGUUGCGCAAUACCCUGCGCCGGACUGAGGUACGCGCUCCGCAAGGAUGCUGGCGUAAUGGUCAUCAGCGACCCGUCUUGAAACACGGACCAAGGAGUCGUCUUCGUAUGCGAGUGUUCGGGUGUAAAACCCCUACGCGUAAUGAAAGUGAACGCAGGUGAGAGCUUCGGCGCAUCACCGACCGAUCCUGAUGUUCUCGGAUGGAUUUGAGUAAGAGCAUACGGGGCCGGACCCGAAAGAAGGUGAACUAUGCCUGUAUAGGGUGAAGCCAGAGGAAACUCUGGUGGAGGCUCGCAGCGGUUCUGACGUGCAAAUCGAUCGUCAAAUAUGGGCAUGGGGGCGAAAGACUAAUCGAACCUUCUAGUAGCUGGUUUCCGCCGAAGUUUCCCUCAGGAUAGCAGUGUUGAACUCAGUUUUAUGAGGUAAAGCGAAUGAUUAGGGACUCGGGGGCGCUAUAUAGCCUUCAUCCAUUCUCAAACUUUAAA
This 943-nucleotide ribosomal RNA is filed under the name Parengyodontium album. Its description in RNAcentral is "partial large subunit ribosomal RNA". It matches the Rfam family "Eukaryotic large subunit ribosomal RNA", at positions 96 to 1069 of the family's 3401-position model. The record is from RNAcentral. Lineage: Eukaryota; Fungi; Ascomycota; Sordariomycetes; Hypocreales; Cordycipitaceae.